This 495-nucleotide ribosomal RNA is filed under the name uncultured Sphingobacteriales bacterium. Its description in RNAcentral is "bacterial SSU rRNA". It matches the Rfam family "Bacterial small subunit ribosomal RNA", at positions 886 to 1382 of the family's 1533-position model. Lineage: Bacteria; Pseudomonadati; Bacteroidota; Sphingobacteriia; Sphingobacteriales. The record is from RNAcentral.
AGCCCGCUCAGAAACUCAAAGGAAUUGACGGGGGCCCGCACAAGCGGAGGAACAUGUGGUUUAAUUCGAUGAUACGCGAGGAACCUUACCUGGGCUCAAAUGUAUGUUGACGUAUUCUGAAAGGGAUACUUCUUCGGACAAUAUACAAGGUGCUGCAUGGUUGUCGUCAGCUCGUGCCGUGAGGUGUCGGGUUAAGUCCCAUAACGAGCGCAACCCCUACCUUUAGUUGCCAUCAGGUAAUGCUGGGGACUCUAAAGGAACUGCCUACGCAAGUAGUGAGGAAGGCGGGGAUGACGUCAAGUCAUCAUGGCCCUUAUGUCCAGGGCGACACACGUGCUACAAUGGCCGGCACAACGGGAAGCGAGUUCGCGAGGACAAGCGGAUCCCUUAAAGCCGGUCGCAGUUCGGAUUGAAGUCUGCAACUCGACUUCAUGAAGCUGGAAUCGCUAGUAAUCGUGGAUCAGCCAAGCCGCGGUGAAUACGUUCCCGGGCCUU